This is a long non-coding RNA of Clupea harengus (Atlantic herring), 771 nucleotides long. Lineage: Eukaryota; Metazoa; Chordata; Actinopteri; Clupeiformes; Clupeidae. The record is from Ensembl.
ACACCCGGAGGUGUGCUAGUUUUGAGUUGAAUUUCUCUGCCCACACACCAAGGACUCGGAACACUUCAAGCAGGACAGUGUUUCUACAGGACAUAAACAACUAUGGGACUGUUGACUUUUGCGCUUGCAGCGCUGGCAGUGGCGGGAGCAAGUAAUUUCAAAAUGCUGCUACGAGUUCAGUUUGGGGGAGAGCAAAAAUACAUACAGCUGUCUGAGCUGACAUUUGAUACUUUUUUGAAAGAAGUGUGCCUGGAAUUCAACAUACCAGAAGGCAGGCAGCUAGAUAUGAAGGUUUAUGACCAGUCUGACACAGAGGUUGACGCUGAUGUUUUUGAAGAGAUAGUGAAGGAUUCACCUGGAGCCUUUCGAAUCAUGUUGGGCAGUGAAGGAUUUGGUAAUCUUUGAGACCAUUCACAGACAUGUUAAUUUAGCGUAAAGGCUGAUCUGAGACUAUGUAUCCCAUUAAAUAUAACAGCUCCAUGUAACAUGUUUCUAUUUUGUAUAAUUUCCAUAAUGCACAGGUGCCUCGCAAUCAUCAUGCUCCGUAACAUCUGAGGACACUGUCAUUCAAGAAUCACAUUAUGACCGUCACACUCAAUUGACAAUUAGAAAACACAAAUCAAAUAAAUACCAAUUGUCUAUAUAGCCUGUCAAUACUAGCAAUGUUUCUUGAUAGCCUAAUAUUUGAUGCUUACCCACAGGGGCGGAGAUCCCAUUUCAUUGUAGGGGGGGACAAUACAUGGUCAAAUUUCAGAGUGUAAUUCCGGGGGG